This 3001-nucleotide ribosomal RNA is filed under the name Ambystoma mexicanum (axolotl). RNAcentral's name for it is "eukaryotic LSU rRNA". It matches the Rfam family "Eukaryotic large subunit ribosomal RNA", at positions 1 to 2640 of the family's 3401-position model. Lineage: Eukaryota; Metazoa; Chordata; Amphibia; Caudata; Ambystomatidae. The record is from RNAcentral.
CUAUGGCCUCAGAUCAGACGUGGUGACCCACUGAAUUUAAGCAUAUUACUAAAUGGAGGAAAAGAAACUAACCAGGAUUCCCUUAUUAACGGCAAGUGAAGAGGGAAAAGCCCAGCGCUGAAUCCCCAUCCAGCAGCAGGCGUGGGAAAUGCGGCGUACAGAAAAGUCCCCGGCGUUGCUCAGGGGGGGCUCAAGUCCUUCUGAUAGAGGCUUACCCCGUGGAUGUUGUUAGGCCUGUAGCAAGCUCCGGCGCACCGGGAUCGGGUCUUCUCGGAGUUGGGUUGCUUGGUAAUGCGCGAGACAGAUGGCCAACAAGUACCGCAAGAGAAAGUUGAAAAGAAUUUUGAAGAGAGAGUUCAAGAGGGCGUGAAAUGGGUGGGGUCCGUGCAGUCCGACCUGCAGGGUUCAACACAGAGGGCAGGUUGGUCUCCUGGAAUGGCGGAUGACUUCGCAGGACUGCUGCCGGGGCACACAGGCCUGCGGAGGGCACAUUUCCUCUGUGACGGUCUCUGCACUGGCAGAGAGUUACAGCCCCCUGGCAGCAGUUUUGCUGUGUCUGCGGGGCCGAGGGAGAUUGGCCGUGGCCUUCUCCGGCAACCGACCGGCCCCUCCUGGGGGUUGCCAGGGCGGAGACAGGGCUCCCGAUGCAACUGUCGAUUGUGGUGGAAUGCCCUCAGUGCGCCCCAACCAUGUCGCUGAGCGGGGAGGCCCACGGAGGGUGCCAGGGGUCUGAGGUGAUGUUGGUUACCCACCCGAGCCAUCUUGAAACACGGACCAAGGAGUCUAAUACAUGCGCGAAUCGGAGGGUCGAACAAAACCCUGUGGUGGAAUGCAGUUGAGGGUUGACGCGCGCUGACUGGGGUGGGAUCCCAUCAUGGUGGGCGCCCCACAGACCCGUCUCUCAGGGAGGUGGAGCAUGGGCGUGUGUGUUAGGACCCGAAAGAUUAUGAAAUAGGACUGGGAAGGGCAAAGCGAGAAGAAACUGUUGGAGGUCCGUAGCGGUCCUGCUUGCAAUCGAUCGUCUGAACUGGCUAUAGGGGCAAAAGACUAAUCAAACCAUCUAGUAGCUGUUUCCCUCCGAAGUUUCCCUCAGGAUAGUUGGCGCACGGAAACCCCAGUUUUAUUUGGUAAAGCAAAUGAUUAGAGGUCUUGGUGCCGAAAUGAUCUCAACCUAUUCUCAAACUUUAAAAGGAAGACCGGCUCGCUGGCAUGGAGCCGGGCAUCGAAUGCAAGUGCCCAGUGGGCCACUUUUGGUAAGCAGAACUGACGCUGUGGGAUGAUCCGAGCGCUGGAUUAAGGCGCUUGAUGCGGACGCUAUCAGACCCCAGAAAAGGUGUUGAUUGAUAUGGACAGGACGGUGGCCAUGGAAGGCGGAAUCCUCGAAGGAGUGUGUAACAACUCACCUGCCGAAUCAACUAGCCCUGAAAAUGGAUGGCACUGGAGCUUCUGGCCCAUACCCGGCUGGUGCCAAGAGCUGUGGGGACUAAGCCGUGAUGAGUAGGAGGGCCGCUGCGGUGUGCACGGAAGCCUGGGGUGAGGGCCUGGGUGGAGCUGCUACAGAUUCAGAUCUUGGUGGUGGUAGCAAAUAUUCAAACAAGAACCUUGAAUGCCAAAGUGGAGAAGGUUUUCCAUGUGAACAGCAGUUGAACAUGGGUCAGUCCGCCCAAAAAGACAGUCAAGCGCCGCUCGGAAGGGAUGGGCGAUGGCCUCAGUUUCCCUGAGCAGGGGUUGAAACGGACUCCGGUUCAGAUCCCCCGAACCCGGCGUGGCGGUGACAUGCACCCUCACAAUGUCCAUUGCGGUAACACAAAUGAUCCCAGAGAAGCCGGCGGGAUCCCCAGGGAGAGUUCUGUUUUUUUAUGUAUUUUUUUUUUUUUUUUCAGGGCAGGGCACCCUGGAAUGGGUUUGCCCUGAGAGAGGGGGCCAAGCCUUGGAAAGCGUUGCCGUUCCGGCGGUGUCCGGUCAGCUCUCGCUGGCCCAUGAAAAUCAGGGGGAGAUGGUGUAAAUCUCACGCCAGGCCAUACCCAUUUUCCAAGUUGAGCCGCCUCUGGCAUGUUGGAACAAAGUAGGUAAGGGAAGUCGGCAAGUCGGACCCGUUACUUCGGGAUGGGCUGGGCCAGUCGUGCUGGGGGUGUGAAGCGGAGCUAGCCGCGGCUUGGUGAGGCUUCUCUCCCCCCUCAUCCCCUCCGGGCCAGUGCCGAAUCUGGAUGCGAGCCGGGCCCUUCCUGUGGAACAUACAGUGGUUCGCAUUUCUCUGUUCCCCUCCCGAGUUCGGGGCCAGUUUUCUGCCUCGGCUGACGCCUAGAAGCUGACUUAGAACUUGUGUGGACCAGGGGAAACCGACCGUUAAAAACAAAGCAUCACGUACGACCCACGGUAGGUGUUGACGUGAUAAUUCUGCCCAGUGCUCUGAAUGUCAAAGUGAAGAAAUUUAAAGAAGUGCGGGUAAACGGCGAGAAUAACUAUAACUCUCUUAAGGUAGCCAAAUGCCUCGUCAUCUAAUUAGUGAAGCGCAUAAAUGGAGCCAAGGGAACGGGCUGGGCAUAAUCAGUGGGGACAGAAGACCCCGUUGAGAUGUACUCGUCUGGCAAUGUGAAGACAUGAGAGGUGUAGGAUAAGUGGGAGGCCCUCGGGCCGCCGGUGACAUACCACUACUCUUAUUGUUUUUUCACUUAUCCACUUUUAGGGUGGGGGGGUGAGCUCUGUGGGGCUCUCGCUUCUGGCUCCAAACCUACUCCGGGGAAUGAGGCAGGUGGGGAGUUUGACAGGAAGGAUUUAUGUGAUCACUGCGCCGCCCGCAAUUGCGAUGCUGAAAAUGCUGACGGCAGUUACGGCGCGGCGCAGUGAUCAUAUGGUUCACUAUGCCCACUCCCAACACAAACACAUUUACCCACUUACCUUUAGGGUGCCACACUUCUGUGUUUGCUGCCCACACUCUGCGAUCCCUGCGGUGUCAGCUCCUCACUAACAUGGGUUGGAGCUGACGCCGCAGGGUGCUUUU